UGUCUAUUAAUUGUAGACCUGUAUGAAAGGCAAAACGAGGGCCUAUCUGUCUCUUGUAGUAAAUCAAUUAAACUGAUCUCCCAGUCCAAAAGCUGGGAUACCAACAUAAGACCAGAAGACCCUGUGAAGCUUAAACUAAACUAUUAAAUCCUAUAAUAGCUCCUUUCGGUUGGGGCGACCCUGGAAAAAAAAAGAACUUCCAAACAUACUGACUUUAUACUCACCAACCCAGGCCAACAAGCCUAACAACGACCCAGCACAGCUGAUAACUGAACCAAGUUACUCCAGGGAUAACAGCGCUAUCUUCUUCAAGAGCCCAUAUCAAAAAGAAGGUUUACGACCUCGAUGUUGGAUCAGGACAUCCUAAUGGUGCAGCCGCUAUUAAGGGUUCGUUUGNNCAACGAUUAACAGU
Molecule: ribosomal RNA, 412 nt
Filed under: Naja naja (Indian cobra)
Lineage: Eukaryota; Metazoa; Chordata; Lepidosauria; Squamata; Elapidae
Description: partial 16S ribosomal RNA
Rfam family: Bacterial large subunit ribosomal RNA
Source: RNAcentral